UUAGCUCUCUUUGCCUUUUGGCUUAGAUCAAGUGUUAGUAUCUGUUCUUUUCAGUUUAAUCUCUGAGAAAAGAUGUCUAAGGACAUCAAUCGUGAUUAUCUCCUAUUUUUGAAACUCGAGGUGGUCUCCUCUGUGCUUGCAACAUGAUUUCCCACCCACAGUGUCCCUGGUAUUACACUGCCUCCAGGUGACGAGAGAUGCA
RNAcentral lists this small nuclear RNA (202 nucleotides) under Fusarium verticillioides 7600. Its description in RNAcentral is "U2 spliceosomal RNA". It matches the Rfam family "U2 spliceosomal RNA". From Rfam's summary of the family: U2 is a small nuclear RNA (snRNA) component of the spliceosome (involved in pre-mRNA splicing). Complementary binding between U2 snRNA (in an area lying towards the 5' end but 3' to hairpin I) and the branchpoint sequence (BPS) of the intron results the bulging out of an unpaired adenosine, on the BPS, which initiates a nucleophilic attack at the intronic 5' splice site, thus starting the first of two transesterification reactions that mediate splicing. Lineage: Eukaryota; Fungi; Ascomycota; Sordariomycetes; Hypocreales; Nectriaceae. The record is from RNAcentral.